Molecule: ribosomal RNA, 440 nt
Filed under: uncultured bacterium
Lineage: Bacteria
Description: partial 16S ribosomal RNA
Rfam family: Bacterial small subunit ribosomal RNA
Source: RNAcentral
CCUACGGGUGGCAGCAGUGGGGGAUAUUGCACAAUGGGGGAAACCCUGAUGCAGCGCCGCCGCGUGGGUGAAGAAGCGCCUCGGCGCGUAAAGCCCUGUCAGCAGGGAAGAAAAUGACGGUAACUGAAGAAGAAGCCCCGGCUAACUCCGGGCCAGCAGCCGCGGGAAUACGUAGGGGGCAAGCGUUAUCCGGAUUUACUGGGGGGAAGGGGGGCGGAGACGGCGAUGCAAGCCAGGCGUGAAAGCCCGGGGCCCAACGCCGGGACUGCUCUUGGAACGGCGUGGCUGGAGUGCAGGAGGGGCAGGCGGAAUUCCUGGUGUAGCGGUGAAAUGCGUAGAUAUCAGGAGGAACACCAGUGGCGAAGGCGGCCUGCUGGACUGCAACUGACGUUGAGGCCCGAAAGCGUGGGGAGCAAACAGGAUUAGAUACCCUUGUAGUC